Molecule: ribosomal RNA, 1396 nt
Filed under: uncultured bacterium
Lineage: Bacteria
Description: partial 16S ribosomal RNA
Rfam family: Bacterial small subunit ribosomal RNA
Source: RNAcentral
GUUUGAUCCUGGCUCAGGAUGAACGCUUUCGGCAGGCUUAACACAUGCAAGUCGAGGGGCAGCAUGUCCAGCAAUGGAUGAUGGCGACCGGCGGAAGGGUGCGUAACGCGUGAGCAACAUGCCCUAUACAGGGAGAUACACCAGGGAGACUUGGUCUGAUAUCCCAUAUCAUUCAUUGAAGGCAUCUUUAAUGAAUUAAAGCUUCGGUGGUAUAGGAUUGGCUCGCGUGACAUUAGCCAGAUGGUGAGGUAACGGCUCACCAUAGCAAUGAUGUCUAGGGGUUUUGAGAGGAAGGCCCCCCACACUGGGACUGAGACACGGCCCAGACUCCUACGGGAGGCAGCAGUGAGGAAUAUUGGACAAUGGAUGGAAAUCUGAUCCAGCCAUGCCGCGUGCAGGAAGACGGCCUUAUGGGUUGUAAACUGCUUUUAUACGGGAGCAAUAAGGGUUACGAGUAAUCCGAUGAGAGUACUGUAUGAAUAAGGAUCGGCUAACUCCGUGCCAGCAGCCGCGGUAAUACGGAGGAUCCGAGCGUUAUCCGGAAUUAUUGGGUUUAAAGGGUGCGUAGGCGGCCAUUUAAGUCAGCGGUGAAAUUUUGCAGCUUAACUGUAACAGUGCCGUUGAUACUGUUCGGCUAGGAUUUGGUUGUAGUGUGCGGAAUGUGUGGUGUAGCGGUGAAAUGCUUAGAUAUCACACAGAACACCGAUUGCGAAGGCAGCACACUAAGUCAUUAUUGACGCUGAGGCACGAAAGUGUGGGGAUCAAACAGGAUUAGAUACCCUGGUAGUCCACACUGUAAACGAUGAUAACUCGCUGUCGGCGAUACACAGUCGGUGGCCAAGCGAAAGCAUUAAGUUAUCCACCUGGGGAGUACGACCGCAAGGUUGAAACUCAAAGGAAUUGACGGGGGCCCGCACAAGCGGAGGAACAUGUGGUUUAAUUCGAGGCAACGCGAAGAACCUUACCCGGUUUUGACAUCUGUGGUAACCUGCAGAGAUGUGGGUGUGCCGGUUUACCGGAGCCACAAGACAGGUGCCGCAUGGCUGUCGUCAGCUCGUGUCGUGAGAUGUUGGGUUAAGUCCCGCAACGAGCGCAACCCCUGCUUUCAGUUACCAUCAUUAAGUUGGGGACUCUGGAAGGACCGCUGCGGUAACAACGCAGAGGAAGAUGGGGACGAUGUCAAGCAAUCAUGGUCCUUAUGACCGGGGCUACACACGUGCUACAAUGGCAGUUACAGAGGGAAGCGAGGCUGUAAAGUGGAGCGAAUCUCAUAAAAGCUGCCUCAGUUCGGAUUGAGGUCUGCAACUCGACCUCAUGAAGUUGGAAUCGCUAGUAAUCGCGCAACAUCAUGGCGCGGUGAAUACGUUCCCGGGCCUUGCACUCACCGCCCGUCAAG